GGAGUUUGGUCCGUGUCUCAGUACCAAUGUGGGGGACCUUCCUCUCAGACUCCCCUACCGAUCGUAGCUUUGGUGGGCCGUUCGCCCCGCCAACUGGCUAAUCGGACGCGAGCCUAUCCGUGGACAUCUCUCGACUAUCAAAUCAUGAACAUGUGAUCACGAUUGUUACGGGGUAUUAGGCGGC
RNAcentral lists this ribosomal RNA (184 nucleotides) under uncultured Bacteroidales bacterium. RNAcentral describes it as "partial 16S ribosomal RNA". Lineage: Bacteria; Pseudomonadati; Bacteroidota; Bacteroidia; Bacteroidales. The record is from RNAcentral.